GAGUUAAAUCUCAUUGUGCUACUGCCAAAAUGGUCCUAUGGGAACACCCAAGCAAUCUGGACUGUCACCCGGGUCGCUGGUGGCUCACCGCAGACGGCAGUUGAGGCUCUCUUGCUGAAAACAACACCUACGAAAAUCGUUGAACACUGAGAAUUCCAGCAGCUGACUACCUGGAACCUUUACUCGUACUGACUGGUGUUCCUGGUACUUGAAGCUACUCUGUAUAAUAACACAGGAGAGAGUGUGGAUAAUUCUCUGGCCUUGCAAGAAAUUCCACCCGUGAUGCUCAGUGAUGACUUCCUCAAAUGAAGAGGUGAUGCUACGCUUUGGAAAUGCAAAAUGUUCUGUGGCGCAUCCAGGAGUCUAAACGGAUCAUCAUUCUGCACAUAAUCCAUGGUUUUCAAUUAUCCGUGCCACUGGUUUGCCACGUUAGCAUGACUAAUAAAAAGUUAUUAUUAU
This is a non-coding RNA of Rattus norvegicus (Norway rat), 459 nucleotides long. NCBI's taxonomy places the organism in Eukaryota, Metazoa, Chordata, Mammalia, Rodentia, Muridae. The record is from RefSeq and is a predicted model, not a curated record.